RNAcentral lists this small RNA (3330 nucleotides) under Pongo abelii (Sumatran orangutan). RNAcentral's name for it is "processed transcript". Lineage: Eukaryota; Metazoa; Chordata; Mammalia; Primates; Hominidae. The record is from RNAcentral.
UUUUUCUUCUUCUUUUUCUUGAGACAGAGUCUUGCUCUGUCGCUCAUGCUGGAGUGCAGUGGCAAGAUCUCAGUUCACUGCAAAUUCCAUCUCCCAGAUUCAAGUGAUUCUCCUGCCUCAGCCUCCCAUGAAGCUGGGAUUACAGACAGCCGCCACCACGUCCGGCUAAUUUUUGUAUUUUUAGUAGAGAUGAGGUUUUGCCAUGUUGGCCAGGCUGGUCUCGAACUCCUGACCUCAAGUGAUCCACCUGCUUGGCCUCCCAAAGUGCUAGGAUUACAGGUGUGAGCCACUGCUUCCAGCCAAGGAUUCAGUAAUUUUCAUAAGAAAAGAAACCAACAGUCAGCUGACUCUUAUCCUGAAAGUUAUCUAGAAAUUCUAAACUACUAUUUUUUUUCCCCCUGGAUAAAGUUGGGUUUUUAGUAAACUGAUGAUUUUUUAGUAAACUUCCCUGGAGUAACCAACUGAGUCAGUGCCUUUAUUAGUAACAAAUACAUGUGAUCCCUAAAUUCUCACCUGUAGGAUCUAAUCUCAAAGGCUUGGGCCCCGAGACUAUGCAACUUUAAAAAUUGGUUAGGUACCAAGUUGAUCACAAAAUGGGAUUAUCUUUCUAAGUAAAUAUUUGCCAAAAACUAGUUAAUCAUAAAGAUAUCCCCCGUCCCUUGUGUGCUGUUCUUUACUCUAAGGCUGGAGCCAUGUAGACACUGGGGCAUUUUUGUUAAGUGAUAGCUCCUGUCCCCAGGUUCCUUACUGUCCACACCAUUAUAGAUUAUUCAUACAACUUGAUGAUUUGCCUUGAUGUUUUCUCUCCUUUCCUCCUAUCCCUUCUUUCUCUUUGUUUUACACUCUUUGUUGCGGUGAUGAGUUCCUUCCAGAGGAAAAACAAGAAAUCCAGAAAAGCUGCCUCCUGGAUUGUAAUUCUGGUCCCCAUCUAAGGCCAGGAUCAUCAGCCACCUGAAAAAUAAUAACGUUCACCCUGAGAGCAAGGGAAGAGAGAGACUUUUCUCAGGAUAAAAGGAAAUCCAGACAACCAACACUGCAGAGAACAGAGCCUGAUCCCCUAAGCAACCUGCCGAGAACCAGAGGGACCAAAUGAGGAACCUUACUGCAGUUUAUCAUUUGAAAUGCUUUGUAGGAAGAGGGAGGUGAGCCUGGCAUUUGCUAGGAACCAGAGUGGAACCGGCAAAGUGGCCAGCAACAGAGUCCUGAUCCAAAUGGAGAAAGGGAACCAGGCGUACCUCAACCUGGAGUGGGAAACUUGAUAGGAGUUUGAAUCAGCUUGGGUACUGACAAAUAUUGCUUCAGGAAAUUCUCUUCAGACCCGGAUUGUGAUUCAGGCAGGAGCUGUGCCCAUCUUCAUAGAGUUGCUCAGCUCAGAGUUUGAAGAUGUCCAGGAACAGGCAGUCUGGGCUCUUGGCAACAUUGCUGGAGAUAGUACCAUGUGCAGGGACUAUGUCUUAGACUGCAAUAUCCUUCCCCCUCUUUUGCAGUUAUUUUCAAAGCAAAACCGCCUGACCAUGACCCGGAAUGCAGUAUGGGCUUUGUCUAAUCUCUGUAGAGGGAAAAGUCCACCUCCAGAAUUUGCAAAGGUUUCUCCAUGUCUGAAUGUGCUUUCCUGGUUGCUGUUUGUCAGUGACACUGACGUACUGGCUGAUGCCUGCUGGGCCCUCUCAUAUCUGUCAGAUGGACCCAAUGAUAAAAUUCAAGCAGUCAUCGAUGCGGGAGUAUGUAGGAGACUUGUGGAACUGCUGAUGCAUAAUGAUUAUAAAGUGGUUUCUCCUGCUUUGCGAGCUGUGGGAAACAUUGUCACAGGGGAUGAUAUUCAGACACAGGUAAUUCUGAAUUGCUCAGCUCUGCAGAGUUUAUUGCAUUUGCUGAGUAGCCCAAAGGAAUCUAUCAAAAAGGAAGCAUGUUGGACGAUAUCUAAUAUUACAGCUGGAAAUAGGGCACAGAUCCAGACUGUGAUAGAUGCCAACAUUUUCCCAGCCCUCAUUAGUAUUUUACAAACUGCUGAAUUUCGGACAAGAAAAGAAGCAGCUUGGGCCAUCACAAAUGCAACUUCUGGAGGAUCAGCUGAACAGAUCAAGUACCUAGUAGAACUGGGUUGUAUCAAGCCCCUCUGUGAUCUCCUUACGGUCAUGGACUCUAAGAUUGUACAGGUUGCCCUAAAUGGCUUGGAAAAUAUCCUGAGGCUUGGAGAACAGGAAGCCAAAAGGAAUGGCACUGGCAUUAACCCUUACUGUGCUUUGAUUGAAGAAGCUUAUGGUCUGGAUAAAAUUGAGUUCUUACAGAGUCAUGAAAACCAGGAGAUCUACCAAAAGGCUUUUGAUCUUAUUGAGCAUUACUUCGGGACUGAAGAUGAAGACAGCAGCAUUGCACCCCAGGUUGACCUUAACCAGCAGCAGUACAUCUUCCAACAGUGUGAGGCUCCUAUGGAAGGUUUCCAGCUUUGAAGCAAUACUCUGCUUUCACGUUCCUGUGUCAGACCAGGCUACCCAGUUGAGUCCUCUUGUGGAGCCCACAGUCCUCAUGGAGCUAACUUCUCAAAUGUUUUCCAUAAUACUGUUUGCGCUCAUUUGCUUGCCUCGCGCACCUGCUCUCUUAUACACAUCUGGAAAACCUCCGGCUCUCUGUGGUGGAAUACCCUUCUAAUAAAAGGGUAACCAGAACGGCCCACUCUCUUUACGGAAAAAUCCCUAGGCUUUGGAGAUCCGCACUUACAUUAGAGUUAUGGGAAUAUACACAUAUUAAUGUGACUCCCUUUUUCUUGUGGGGGAAUAAAAGAGGACUCCUCCUCAUUCCCUUUAACAUGGGGGAAAAAACUGACAUUAAAAGAUGAGACUAAAUCUUUAUCUUGAAUUUUACACAACUACUUACGACAAGGGAGAUGUUUAGACCUGUUGUGUAUACUUCAGAGUACUUUUCAUGAGUUCUUCCACAGUGAACCCUUGGAUUACCUGGUGGCUUUUUCUAGCCAAAUUUGCAUUAAUCCUUACUGAGAUUGGAUGGUUUUCUUUCCUCUAUUGGCGCCAUUCUUCAGAUAUUAAAGUUAAACCAUCCACUCCCUCACCUUCAGCCUUCAGUGAAUGUGCUUUCUAGUUGUCAGGAAUGCUGAAGAAUUAACACUUUGACUCCUAAAUGUGAUACUGGUUUGUAGAUUCCCUUAGAGCAGAAAGGAGAGGGGCACAUAUUAAUUUGUAUCGCUUUUGCUUCUCUUUGGUCUUUUGUAUCUUAGAAUUUGGAAGUGGUUCAUUUCUGUUGCUGGUAUGAGGAUUUCGAAUACUUAGUAAUCGAAAACCAUAUCCUGUAAUUUAAUUAAAAAAACUAAGGAAG